GCAGUCGUGGCCCAGUGGUUAAGGCGAUGGACAAGAAAUUCAUUGGGGUCUCCCCGCACAGGUUCGAAUCCUGUCGACUGCG
Molecule: non-coding RNA, 82 nt
Organism: Ixodes scapularis (black-legged tick)
Lineage: Eukaryota; Metazoa; Arthropoda; Arachnida; Ixodida; Ixodidae
Source: Rfam